RNAcentral lists this unclassified non-coding RNA (341 nucleotides) under soil metagenome. Its description in RNAcentral is "partial contains 5.8S ribosomal RNA, internal transcribed spacer 2, and large subunit ribosomal RNA". The stretch from base 1 to 120 matches the Rfam family "5.8S ribosomal RNA", at positions 35 to 154 of the family's 154-position model. The record is from RNAcentral.
GAUGAAGAACGCAGCGAAAUGCGAUAAGUAAUGUGAAUUGCAGAAUUCAGUGAAUCAUCGAAUCUUUGAACGCACAUUGCGCCCUUUGGUAUUCCAAAGGGCAUGCCUGUUCGAGCGUCAUUUGUACCCUCAAGCUUUGCUUGGUGUUGGGCGUCUUGUCUCUAGCUUUGCUGGAGACUCGCCUUAAAGUAAUUGGCAGCCGGCCUACUGGUUUCGGAGCGCAGCACAAGUCGCACUCUCUAUCAGCAAAGGUCUAGCAUCCAUUAAGCCUUUUUUUCAUCUUUUGACCUCGGAUCAGGUAGGGAUACCCGCUGAACUUAAGCAUAUCAAUAAGCGGAGGA